This 605-nucleotide long non-coding RNA is filed under the name Amborella trichopoda. Its description in RNAcentral is "long non-coding RNA (ATRI_LNC003267)". The record is from RNAcentral. Lineage: Eukaryota; Viridiplantae; Streptophyta; Magnoliopsida; Amborellales; Amborellaceae.
AAGAAUAGUGCUGCCCAAAAUUAGAGUCAUUACAACCUGAAUUUGGGUACAUCGUAGUUGAAAUACCAUGCCUAAAUUUUUAACGUACCACUAGAAAAAGAAAAGAAAAAAAACUAAUUUUUAAAACCCAUUGAAACUACAACACUUGCUAAACGAAUAGAUCAAUGAGACGAGACAACAAGUAUGGAAUAAAAAACUAAUCAAAAUUGAGUAAAGCAUAAAUCCAUAAAAAGUGGAACAUAUCUAAAGAAAUAACGUAUAAUUCAUAUGAGAUAAAACCAAAAUCACAGCCCAAAAGGUCCAAACCAUGAAAAUCACAUAGAAGGAUUAAUAAGAUGGAACAAGCAAAUCGAGAGCAAGUUCACAAGACAGCACAACAACAAAACCCCAAAAUACAGAUGCAAAUGCCAUGGAUGCAAAACCUCAAACCCAAAAUUCGAAAUAGGCUCCAGAGGAGACAUACCUAGAUCACACGGAGAGAAAAACCUCUUGGGCAUUUGAUUCAGUGAAGAAAAAGAACCGUCUUUCGCAUGAGAUAGAGAGUGAGGGGAUUGGGGAGGGCGAGGUGUAGAGAGAGAGAGAGUUGGGGGAGCGGGAGGUGUAGU